UACGGGGGGGGCAAGCGUUGUUCGGAAUUACUGGGCGUAAAGGGCUCGUAGGUGGCCAACUAAGUCAGACGUGAAAUCCCUCGGCUUAACCGGGGAACUGCAUCUGAUACUGGAUGGCUUGAGUUCGGGAGAGGGAUGCGGAAUUCCAGGUGUAGCGGUGAAAUGCGUAGAUAUCUGGAGGAACACCGGUGGCGAAGGCGGCAUCCUGGACCGACACUGACGCUGAGGAGCGAAAGCCAGGGGAGCAAACGGG
Molecule: ribosomal RNA, 253 nt
Filed under: uncultured bacterium
Lineage: Bacteria
Description: partial 16S ribosomal RNA
Rfam family: Bacterial small subunit ribosomal RNA
Source: RNAcentral